GCUCAGAACGAACGCUGGCGGCGUGCCUAAUACAUGCAAGUAGAACGCUGAAGACUUUAGCUUGCUAGAGUUGGAAGAGUUGCGAACGGGUGAGUAACGCGUAGGUAACCUGCCUAUUAGUGGGGGAUAACUAUUGGAAACGAUAGCUAAUACCGCAUAAUAGUGUUUAACACAUGUUAGAGACUUAAAAGAUGCAAUUGCAUCACUAGUAGAUGGACCUGCGUUGUAUUAGCUAGUUGGUGGGGUAACGGCCUACCAAGGCGACGAUACAUAGCCGACCUGAGAGGGUGAUCGGCCACACUGGGACUGAGACACGGCCCAGACUCCUACGGGAGGCAGCAGU
Molecule: ribosomal RNA, 343 nt
Filed under: Streptococcus macedonicus
Lineage: Bacteria; Bacillati; Bacillota; Bacilli; Lactobacillales; Streptococcaceae
Description: bacterial SSU rRNA
Rfam family: Bacterial small subunit ribosomal RNA
Source: RNAcentral